This 6412-nucleotide long non-coding RNA is filed under the name Sus scrofa (pig). RNAcentral's name for it is "lncRNA (ENSSSCG00025047688.1)". The record is from RNAcentral. Lineage: Eukaryota; Metazoa; Chordata; Mammalia; Artiodactyla; Suidae.
UUUUUUUUUUUUUUUUUUUUUUUUUUUGGCUGCACCCAAGGCAUUUGGACAUUCCCAGGCCAGGGAUCGAAUCCUUACCACUGCAGUAAUAACACCAGAUACUUAACCAACUGUGGGAUGAGAGAAUUUCUGUAAUAGAGGAUUUUUUUUAAGGUAAAAGUAAUUGAAAAAAAAAAGGCCAUAGUUUUGUCAGGUUUGAAGCAUUUUCUUCAUACUACCCAAGUGAAUAUUUCAUCAAAGCUUUAUUUAUUUAUUUGUCUUUUCUAGGGACACACCCACAGCAUAUGGAAGUUCCCAGGCUAGGGGUCUAAUUGGAGCUGUAGCUGCCAGCCGACACCAUAGCUCACAGCAACACCGGAUCCUUAACCCACUGAGCGAGGCCAGAGAUCGAACCCACAACCUCAUGGUUCCUGGUCAGAUUCAUUAACCACUGAGCCAUGACGGGAACUCCCUCAUCAAAGCUUUAAAGCAAUGAUAUAAUGCCAAGCCUAUAAAUAUCCACAAUUGACUAAAGUCAUCUAAAGGUAAUGAAAGUAAAGAAGUCUGUAUAUACUUUUUAAUUGGCCUAAACAGGUUGACCCAAGUAGAGUUAGCUAGCAGUUAUCUAAUUACCUGUAAUAAUAGUAAUGAUAAUUAUGAUCAAUAUUUAUACAGUGAUUUUUAAUCUGAUGGUUAAAAUCAGAUUAAAAUUCCUAUUCCUGGAGUUUCCACUGUGGUGCAGAGAUGAAUGGUGUCUUGAGAUGCAGGUUCAAUCCCAGGCCCCCGCACAGUGGGUUAAGUAUCUGGCGUUGCUGCAGCUGCAACUGAGGUUGCAACUGCAGUUCAGAUCUGAUUCUGAGCUUGGAAACUCCAAGUCGCAGGGUGGCCUCAAAAAAUCAUGUUCCCUUGCAUCUGGCAGUCAUAUAUUGAAUAUUGGUAAAGCCCUUUGCCAGGCACUAUAGAAAUUACUUGACAUAUAGAGUUUCCACUGUGGUGCAGAGAUGAAUGGUGUCUUGAGAUGCAGGUUCAAUCCCAGGCCCCCGCACAUGGGAUAAGUAUCUGGCAUUGCUGCAGCUGCACCUGAGGUUGCAACUGCAGUUCAGCUCUGAUCAUGAGCUUGGAAACUCCAUGUCGCAGUGUGGCCUCAAAAAAUCAUGUUCCCUUGCAUCUGGCAGUCAUAUAUUGAAUAUUGGCAAAGCCCUUUGCCAGGCACUAUAGAAAUUACUUGACAUAUGCCAUUCCAUUUAAUCCUGAAAACAGCCCCAUGGAUUAAGUAUGUAUUAGGUUCAGCAACAAGUGUCAGAAAAUAAACAACAACAAUAACUCAAAAUAGAAAUGCAUUUCUUCCUUCUCUAAAAGCCUGGGCAAAUGAUCCAGGGCAUUUGAUGUGAUAAUCAUAAGGGACACAGGCUCCCACUCUUGUUCAGCUUUCCUCAGUACACAGCUUCCAUCUCCCUGUUCAAGAUGACUGCUCCAACUCCACUCAUCAUACUGAACUCCAGCCUGCCAAAAGGAAAAAAGGGCAUUCUCCCUCUUUUAAGGGUAGUUCCUGGAAGUUUCAGAAAUGACUUCUAUUUUCACCCCUUUGGCUAGAAAUUGAACGCAUAAACACAUCUCACUGCAGGGGACACUAUAAAUGUGGACUUUAUUUGGGGCAUCCUGGUAUUUAGUAACUGUUGAAGGGUCUUCACUGAUCAAGAUGGGAGGAAUGGACAUUGGGGUAAAACUAAUAGUUUCAGUCACGGUAUGCUAUCAUUCUCAUUCUACAAAUGAAGUACAGAGAAGUUAAUAAAUACGCCCGAAGUUACAGUCCCAGUAGAGUUGUUUCACUGAUGCCCAUGUUCUUUCCACCACGCCACAGUAUCCCUUGUAACUCAGUUAAUCUAUUUCUCAACAUAGUUAGGAUUCAAUUAAUCAGAUAAAAACAUUUUUUAACCAAAAGGCCAACUAGGAAAGUUUUGUUUUGGGUCUGAAUAUCAUUUGCUGCAUUAUUCUGCUCACCUGGAAUAAACAAAUACUCCGUGAAUGACUACUUUUGGUCAAAACAUAGUCUAAAAACAGGAUUUCCAGAAUGAAUUAUAAUAUUUCCAUCUCAAGAAUUCCCUUCGUGACUCAGCGGUUAACUAACCCAAAUAGGAUCCAUGAGGAUGGGGGUUCAAUCCCUGGCCUCACUCAGUGGGUUAAGGAUCCGGUGUUGCCAUGAGCUGUGGUACAGGUUUAAGAUGCGGCUUGGAUUCCACGUUGCUAUGGCUGUGGUGUAGGCUGGCAGCUGUAGCUCCCAUUCGAUCUGUAGCCUGGGAACUUCCACAUGCCAUGGGUGCGGCCCUAAAAACAAACAAAAAUAAUAAUGAUAAUAUUUCCAUCUAAUAUUUGUAAAAGUGACAUCAGGAAAGCAUAGCAAGGAAAUCCUUGAAUAAAGAGAAAUGGCCCCCAUUAUACCUAUCAAGAACACUGGCUUGUACUUUAACAUUAGAAACUAUGACAUAUACCAGAUUGCAUUAAAUUACAUAAAGGGAUGAAUGACACUGGUUUAAUGAGAACUGCAAUAACAUGGUAAUGCAGUUAUCUAAUUAAAUGUGUCUUAGGACCAAGCAGAACUCAAGAUUUCUAUCCAGCUACAACUGCAUUGUCUAUUGAGCACCUGAAACAUAGCCAGUGCAACUUGAGAAGUGCCUUAUGUGUAAGACACAUAUAGAAUUUUGAAGGCUUAGUAAAACGUAAUAUAAAAUAACUCGAAUAAUUUUACAUUGACUACAGGUGGAAAGGAUAUUUUAGAUAUUUGGAAUAAAUAAAAUCUACCAUUGAAUUUAAUUUCACCUGUUUCUUUUUUACUGUUUAAAACAUGGCUACUAGAAAAUUUUCUUGCUUGCAUUUGAGGCUCACACUAUAAAUCUUUUAGAGAAAUGGUUUAUACAAACAGUGGUGAAGAAGAAGGACAAGGACAGAGGGUCUCUACUAAUGUCCAAGAGGAAAAGAAAGUCUUGGUCUGGAGCGCACUGAAUUUUCCAGUGACCAGUGAGUAGCACUCUGUUUCUGAGUAGCAAUAUUUCAACAGGAUUUCUAAAGCUUUAGUUAAAAUCCUCUGGAAAAUAAUUCCUUAACCAUCCCUUUCUCCUUAGGCCUAGGAGAUAGAAAACCAUCUGAAGACUAAUUGGGCUUCCUAGAUCAUCCACUAUGGGAAGGAAUGGGAGAUAAAUGCAAGUAAAUGUACUGAUGUGGAAUCAGUUAUUAUGCUUUUAACUGCAAAACAAUGGAAAAACUGAUUUCAGCAGUAAGAAAACAUAUUAUCUUAACGCGAGGGCCAGAGAUAAGGCAGUCUCUGGGUGAUCAGAUCUCUGCUCCAUUUCACUGUAGGUUUCUCAGGCUCUGCCUUCAUAGGUGUGUUGGCUUUACCUCCAAAUUAUGUUUAAUAAUAUAACAAAUCAAUGGCUUCAUUCCUUCUUAUUCUAUUUAAUCCUUACUGCUUUCUUCAUUAAAAAUUCCCAAAACAUAAUCACAUGAACAUUUCCACAGGCUUUUGCUGGCAUUCAUUUACCGAGCACCUGCGAUGCGCCAGGCAUAACACAGUUCUGGCUCCUACCGAGCUUGCUGUCUCCCUCAUUAGAGAAAACAGACAAAUGCAUACAAAUCAUAUCCUUAAUGUUGUCAAGUGGUAGAGCUCAUCAACAUGCUUAAAGUUACUCAUGACCCAAACACACUUUUAAAAGUUUCCAUCUUUGAGAACCAAUAGCCAAAUUGGGUGAAAGAGCCAGAGUGGUUUCCUGACAGGAAACUUGUAUCAACAGGUGCUUCCAUUCUCCAGUGAUUUAUAUCCCUGGAUGACUAAUACUUGCAACUAUAUAGUGAGUUUUGCCUAAGGACUCUAUCAAUAGAGGAGAGUAAGGCUUUAAUACUACAUGAACUUUUGUUUUCCUUUCUGACUAAAGGGGCUCCUUAGGGCUUUACUCUAAGAAGAAGGUCAGGUUAAGCCACCUGAGUUUACUGCCGUAACAUCGUUUCUCAAAACACACCAGUAGCCCCUGAGUGGUGAGGAGCUCCAGGGAGAAACGAAUCAUCUUAUCCUUUUUUUUUUCUUUUUAGGGUCACACCUGUGGCAUAUGGACGUUCCUAGGCUAGGGGUCAAAUUGGAACUGCAGCUGCCUGCCUACACCACAGCCACAGAAACACUAGAUCUGAACCUAAUCUGCAACAUACAUCAUAGCUCAUAGCAAUGCCGGAUCCUUAACCCACUGAGUGAGGCCAGGGAUUGAACCCGAAUCCUCAUGAAUACUAAUUGAGUUCUUAACCCGCUAAGCCACAACAGGAACUACCCAUUCAUCCUUUGAACCAGGGAAACAUUUGUCAGAUGUUAUCAUAAGCGCUUUAGAGCCCUUGCAAACUGAACUUGACAGUACUUGGUUCAAGUUUCUGACAUAGUGAUUUGGGAUGUGUUAUCUCGCAGAUGAUCAGGUUCUUAGUGGAAGGUAUCGCCAACUCUGUGAAAUCAGUUUUAUUUUGUCUUAAUAUCCAUUGGAAACCUGAGGGAAUUGAAGCUCAGGGAGUAAAUAGAUCCCUAACCUCCCCACUGUAAGCUCUACUACAGGCAUGGGGGAACCAUGGUGAUCCAGGGCCAGAUCACUUCUUCAAGCGGUCUAAGGACCCAGGAAUUCCCUGGCCAUUGCAUAAUGAAACUUCCAUAACUUUAUCAGGAAAUUCAGCUAGGAGGAGGGAUAGAGGCUUCUGAAAACAUUAGAAGAUAAAAAUCAAACCCUUUUUCCAUUUCAAUUUUCUAGUUUCUCUAUCUUGGUUGACAGAGUUAGGCUCCCACUCACUUUCUGCUUUAACAUGCAACAAAAAGACAUGGAGGUUCUGUGCCACCUCCACGUCCAUCAGUAAAUACUUGUUGAAAUAACUAACAAAUUAUGUUGAAUUAAGGGAUGAACGAGCCCAGAUUUUUCUCAUCCUGCAGACUGCAAUGAGGUACAGUCUUCGAAGAUUGGUUUAAUUUCAAGCCAGUCACAGAAAGGAUAACCAGCUGGUAUGAUAUAAGGCUGCCAAGAAGGUUUCAUAUAUUGGCUCUCAUUCUAAAGCCCUUAAUACAUUUCAUUCCUUUUAUCAUUAUUCUGUAACAGAAAAUUUUAUCCCAAGACUAGGAGAAAAAAAAUGUCUUCUCAAUUUUCCAACUUCUUUUGAUCAGGAAGUAAGAGAGAAAACAGUCUCCAGAAUGGGAAGGAAGGUGUUUCUUUUCAUUUAGACCAGCUCCUUGGGCCAUGUACAGGUGAGUGAGAUAUAGAGGCAUUUUUCUUGACACUUUACGUGGAAUUGGCCCUUGAAGUUGCUGAAUGUCAGGUGGCAUACUUGAAGAUUUCACCCACUCAGCUGAAUGUGUGUUAUGGGAAGUGAUGCAGCUUAGGACCCUUCAUCAAUCAGAGGGGUUUCUCCUGCUAUGUCAUGACCACCACUACCACCUGCCCCCGCCCCAACUCCAUUUCCAAGCACUUUAGGCCCUUUGCUUUGACAGACAGUGAUCUUACCUAGCGAUACAGAGAAUUGCUCCCCUUGAUGCUUGACAUUUUUGGUGGUAAAUUAAGUAAUUUAUUUAUUUGUCUUGUUAGGGCCACACCCAGGGCAUAUGGAGGUUCCCAGACUAGGAUCUGAAUAGGAGCUAUAGCCACUGGCCUGCACCACAGCAACGCCAGAUCUAAGCUGCGUUUGUGACCUAUGCCACAGCUCACAGCAACGCUCGAUCCUUAACCCACUAAGUGAGGCCAGGGAUCGAACCCAAGUCUUCAUGGAUACUAGUUGGGUUCGUUAACUGCUGAGCCACUACAGGAACUCCUAGUGGUAAAUUUAUAAUACACAUAUACAUAUAUGUAGGUAGACACAAAGACUAAGAUUAAUAAAUUGCUAUUUUAUCAUUUACAAUAAUCCAUACUCAUUAACAAUAUUUCCACAAAACUCCUGAGCCAUAGUCAUUAAAUAAAGUGAGGCGCCUAAGAGAAGAUUUCCUUUCCUUUAAACCCUCUCUACCUCACAUCCUGCCAUCUUACCUCUAUCUCCUUUCUCUGCUCUAAAAGGGAGAAAAACACAAAAGCUUUCCUAAGGAUACUUGUCAAUGAUUAAAACUCCUUCACUGGAAGCAUAUAUUCCUUUGUUGUAAUAUGUUACCUCUUAAUAAUAUGGAGCUUACUCUGGAGAGAAGUUGCAGGUUUGACUUUGUCAUCUUAGCCCUUGAUAUUAAUAGAGGAAAGAUUUAGCUCCAGAAUCCAGCCUCAAGAUUGACUAAGGUAGCAGAGUGGAAAAACCCUGAGUUCACCUCCUCUCAUGAGCAUACCAAAAUCACAACUAUUUGCAGGAGAACCAUCACUGAAAAUGACCAGAACCUGCCAGAAAAGAUCUUCCACAACUAACACCAUAAAGAAUAAACUAUAAUGAGAUGGGUAGGAGGCAGCGG